This 438-nucleotide ribosomal RNA is filed under the name Triticum aestivum (bread wheat). RNAcentral's name for it is "partial small subunit ribosomal RNA". The record is from RNAcentral. Lineage: Eukaryota; Viridiplantae; Streptophyta; Magnoliopsida; Poales; Poaceae.
AUGACUAGGGAUAACCUUAGGAAGAGACACAUCAUCAAACCCCUUGAUUGUGUUUACUGCUUGGAACAAGAGUCUUGUUCUCACCUAUUUUUUGAAUGUAUAGUUGCUAAACAUCUCUACGGCCACAUUGAGGAAUAUUUCUCUAGUCAGAUUGGCUCAUCCUUCGAAUCUGUCGCCAGAUUCUGGAUUGCUACCAAAAAGUGCUCAGUUUUAAACACUGUUAGCUCAGCUAUCCUUUGGUGCCUCUGGAAAUAUAGAAAUGCUAUGAUUUUCAGUAACACCUCCUGGAUUUCCAUUCCGCAGGUCUUGAGGUUGAUCAGGAACAUAGUGAGGAACUCGGCGAUUCUCUCCUCCGGAUCGGACAAGGAAAAGUUGAUGAGCUUCGUGGAAACCCUAACAAGAUCCCUCCAGAAACCGUUGGCGAUCACUUGUGGCUGA